This 305-nucleotide ribosomal RNA is filed under the name uncultured bacterium. RNAcentral's name for it is "bacterial SSU rRNA". It matches the Rfam family "Bacterial small subunit ribosomal RNA", at positions 335 to 637 of the family's 1533-position model. The record is from RNAcentral.
GGGCCUACGGGGCGCAGCAGUGAGGAAUAUUGGUCAAUGGCCGGAAGGCUGAACCAGCCAAGCCGCGUGAGGGAGGAAGGCGCAGAGCGUCGCAGACCUCUUUUGCCGGGGGACAAAAGGCCGGACUCGUCCGGUCCUGAGGGUACCCGGAGAAAAAGCAUCGGCUAACUCCGUGCCAGCAGCCGCGGUAAUACGGGGGAUCCGAGCGUUAUCCGGAUUUAUUGGGUUUAAAGGGAGCGUAGAUGGGUUGUUAAGUCAGUUGUGAAAGUUUGCGGCUCAACCGUAAAAUUGCAAUUGAUACUUGC